GCAAAUUGGCUUCCAAGGGCUCCUCUCCUUUAAAUCCUCUUCCUCCCCAAAGAGGAAGAUUGGUCUCCUCCCUGCCUCUCUGGAAACGGACUGAGCACUGCAGGCCGGGCAUUCCGUGAACAAAGAGUCAGCAGCAGUGACUUGUCAUGGAAUCAACAGGCAUAUCCAGGAAGAGCCUGUGAGAUGGGAAGACAAGAGGUUGGAGCCUGGGGGACACUGGGCCCAAAGAAAAUGGAUAGAUGGAUCCAAAAUUGAGGCUUUGUUGACUGGCUGUGCCAUUACAUCAAAGGAGGAAAGAGAUUGUAUCUGAUGAUGACCAUAUCCUGAAAACCAAGAGGGCUGAAGGCCAUUAGCUGGGGAGACCAAAGGCCAGAUGCCUUGGGCAACAAUUUGCUCAGCAUAUCUCUUCCUAAAUUCCAAGACAGGCUGCUUGCUCUGCUCAGUCAAGACUGCCAACCCAAGAAACAUUUUCGAAAGAUCACAAUCAACAUCAUUGCCAAAAGAAGAAGUUCUUGGCACACAAAAGACCUGGUUCAAUAUGAGAUGCCAGAUGGUGAUUUCAACUUCAGCUAAAUUCCUGCUGAAAAAAGUGUUUGAACUGCAGAUGAGAAAAGCUUCUAUGACAAAUUUCCAAGCGUUAGAAGCUUCAGAGGGAGAUGGCAAGUGUUGAUACACCCCCCCCACCACCAAGCACAUGCACACACCACAGACUUACUACCUGCAGCUGGUAAUUAAGAUUCCCACAAAGAUGCCUCUGCUUUUUACGAAGACUGAGCCCUGACUUGAUUUUUACGAAUAUCAAAGUGUAUUUACUGAGCCCAUUGAAAGUAAAACCUAGUUGAUUACAUGUAGUGUUUUUCAAAGCAUCUGCUUUCAUUAGCAUCUGCUCUAAGUUUUUUUUAGUAUCUGGAGUAUCUUAUUCCUCUCUACCAAUAACUCCAUUAUUAAGCCAAUUAAUAAUAAGCAUGUCUUCCCUCCCUAACUUUCUUUCUUUCUCUCCCUAACUAAUUUCAGAUUACAGGGAAUAUACAUGAAGUAUAAAUUGAUGGUGCUCUGUCUGGACACUCUUGGGUCCCUGACU
Neogale vison (American mink) is the source of this 1081-nucleotide long non-coding RNA. RefSeq lists it as uncharacterized. Lineage: Eukaryota; Metazoa; Chordata; Mammalia; Carnivora; Mustelidae. The transcript has 4 exons. The record is from RefSeq and is a predicted model, not a curated record.